AACGAACGCUGGCGGCAUGCCUAACACAUGCAAGUCGAACGAGAUCUUCGGGUCUAGUGGCGCACGGGUGCGUAACGCGUGGGAAUCUGCCCUUUGGUUCGGAAUAACAGUUGGAAACGACUGCUAAUACCGGAUGAUGACGAAAGUCCAAAGAUUUAUCGCCAGAGGAUGAGCCCGCGUAGGAUUAGAUAGUUGGUGUGGUAAAGGCGCACCAAGGCGACGAUCCUUAGCUGGUCUGAGAGGAUGAUCAGCCACACUGGGACUGAGACACGGCCCAGACUCGUACGGGAGGCAGCAGUGGGGAAUAUUGGACAAUGGGCGAAAGCCUGAUCCAGCAAUGCCGCGUGAGUGAUGAAGGCCUUAGGGUUGUAAAGCUCUUUUACCCGGGAUGAUAAUGACAGUACCGGGAGAAUAAGCUCCGGCUAACUCCGUGCCAGCAGCCGCCGUAA
This 449-nucleotide ribosomal RNA is filed under the name uncultured bacterium. RNAcentral's name for it is "partial 16S ribosomal RNA". It matches the Rfam family "Bacterial small subunit ribosomal RNA", at positions 29 to 523 of the family's 1533-position model. The record is from RNAcentral.